Molecule: ribosomal RNA, 774 nt
Filed under: uncultured Neocallimastigales
Lineage: Eukaryota; Fungi; Neocallimastigomycota; Neocallimastigomycetes; Neocallimastigales
Description: partial large subunit ribosomal RNA
Rfam family: Eukaryotic large subunit ribosomal RNA
Source: RNAcentral
UACGACUACAUAUCAGGCAUAUCAAUAAGCGGAGGAAAAGAAACUAACAAGGAUUCCCUUAGUAACGGCGAGUGAAGCGGGAAGAGCUCAAAUCUGAAAUCCUCAAGGUUCUACCUUGACGAAUUGUAGUUUAAAGAAGUGUUUUCUGUUAGUGGAGUGGCAAAAGUUCUCUGGAAUAGGACAUCAUAGAGGGUGAGAAUCCCGUAUUUGACCAUUAUUUUCAGCUGUGUGAUACACUUUCAAAGAGUCGGAUUGUUUGGGAAUGCAGUCCAAAAUGGGUGGUAAAUUUCAUCUAAAGCUAAAUAUUGGCGAGAGACCGAUAGCGAACAAGUACCGUGAGGGAAAGAUGAAAAGAACUUUGAAAAGAGAGUUAAACAGUACGUGAAAUUGUCAAAAGGGAAGCGUUUGACACCAGUGUUGUUUUCUCGAAAAUCAAUUAAAAAGAGUUGGAUUUUGUGUUGUAUUGACCUUAACAGCUUGCUUCACUCUUUUCCAGCUUUUUUUAAUGCACUUUUCGUUUAACAAGUCAACAUCAGUUUCUUUUGUUGUAAAAGGGUCAUUGGAAGGUGGCUUUCUCUUCGGAGAAAGUGUUUAUAGCCUUUGAUCUCUGCAAUCGGAGAGACUGAGGUCUGCAGCGUAGAUCCUUCGGGGUUAGAUACAUUUGUGCUAAGCUACAGCUUUUCAUAGACAACUUGUUGACUAUGUUUAGUCUUGUGACUUACCCGCUUAUGCUAUUUUACCUACGCUUAGGAUGUUGAGCGCAUGUCUCUCUCU